AUAUUUUAUUGACAAGGUCAAUGCAUUUAUCACAUAUUAUUUUUGAUUGCAGAUGCUAGCCAUGUUCUUUGGUGCAACACCAUUUUUUAAGCAAUUGAUAUUUACAACUGACGCUCCACUUUACUUUUUUUACUGAUAGCUGCAACAUCCUUGGGGAGGCCAUGAUUCCAUGUAUUUUGUUGGCAUUAGGAGGAAAUCUUGUGGAUGUUGGUACAGGAGAUGCAGCAAGAGCAAGAUAAAGCUUCUUCACCUUUUUCUCCUGAUGACAGUAAGGAAUUCACAAAAAAAAUUACAGAUCAGACUAAGAUCAUAGGCUAUAGGGUGUUGAGAUGAACUGUAGAUGUUAAUUGGUGGUUGUAUGGUAAUUAAUUGAUAUUUUUGAGUUAUUUUAUUUUGUUUUUAGAGAAUAUUAGA
This is a long non-coding RNA of Mercurialis annua (annual mercury), 414 nucleotides long. RefSeq lists it as uncharacterized. NCBI's taxonomy places the organism in Eukaryota, Viridiplantae, Streptophyta, Magnoliopsida, Malpighiales, Euphorbiaceae. The transcript has 3 exons. The record is from RefSeq and is a predicted model, not a curated record.